This is a small nuclear RNA of Grammomys surdaster, 110 nucleotides long. NCBI's taxonomy places the organism in Eukaryota, Metazoa, Chordata, Mammalia, Rodentia, Muridae. The record is from RefSeq and is a predicted model, not a curated record.
GCUGCUGGCUUCAGCAGCAGCACGUGUACAAAAGUUUGGAAUGCUACAGAGAAGAUUAGCAUGUCCCUGCGAAAGGAUAGCACACAAGUUAUGAAGAGUUCUAUAUUCCU